UACGGAGGAUCCGAGCGUUGUCCGGAUUUAUUGGGUUUAAAGGGUGCGUAGGCGGUUUUAUAAGUCAGUGGUUAAAGACUCUCGCUCAACGAGAGGGAUGCCAUUGAUACUGUAGAACUUGAGUACUGUAGAGUAGGCGGAAUUGGUAGUGUAGCGGUGAAAUGCAUAGAUACUACCAGGAACACCGAUUGCGAAGGCAGCUUACUGGAGAGUAACUGACGCUGAGGCACG
Molecule: ribosomal RNA, 231 nt
Filed under: uncultured bacterium
Lineage: Bacteria
Description: partial 16S ribosomal RNA
Rfam family: Bacterial small subunit ribosomal RNA
Source: RNAcentral